Molecule: ribosomal RNA, 434 nt
Filed under: uncultured Lachnospiraceae bacterium
Lineage: Bacteria; Bacillati; Bacillota; Clostridia; Lachnospirales; Lachnospiraceae
Description: partial 16S ribosomal RNA
Rfam family: Bacterial small subunit ribosomal RNA
Source: RNAcentral
ACGGAAGGCAGCAGUGGGGAAUAUUGCACAAUGGGGGAAACCCUGAUGCAGCAACGCCGCGUGAGUGAAGAAGUAUUUCGGUAUGUAAAGCUCUAUCAGCAGGGAAGAUAAUGACGGUACCUGACUAAGAAGCACCGGCUAAAUACGUGCCAGCAGCCGCGGUAAUACGUAUGGUGCAAGCGUUAUCCGGAUUUACUGGGUGUAAAGGGUGCGUAGGUGGCAUGGUAAGUCAGAUGUGAAAUACCGGGGCUCAACCCCGGGGCUGCAUUUGAAACUGCCAGGCUGGAGUACAGGAGAGGCAAGCGGAAUUCCUAGUGUAGCGGUGAAAUGCGUAGAUAUUAGGAGGAACACCGGUGGCGAAGGCGGUUUACUGGACGACAACUGGCGCUGAGACACGAAAGCGUGGGGAGCAAACAGGAUUAGAUACCCUGGUA